UACGAAGGGGGCUAGCGUUGCUCGGAAUCACUGGGCGUAAAGCGCACGUAGGCGGCUUUUUAAGUCAGAGGUGAAAUCCUGGAGCUCAACUCCAGAACUGCCUUUGAUACUGAGAAGCUUGAGUCCGGGAGAGGUGAGUGGAACUGCGAGUGUAGAGGUGAAAUUCGUAGAUAUUCGCAAGAACACCAGUGGCGAAGGCGACUCACUGGCCCGAUACUGACGCUGAGGCGCGAAAGCGUGGGGAGCAAACAGG
RNAcentral lists this ribosomal RNA (253 nucleotides) under uncultured bacterium. RNAcentral describes it as "partial 16S ribosomal RNA". It matches the Rfam family "Bacterial small subunit ribosomal RNA", at positions 524 to 776 of the family's 1533-position model. The record is from RNAcentral.